UGCCAGCCGCCGCGGUAAUACGGAGGGUGCAAGCGUUGUUCGGAAUUAUUGGGCGUAAAGCGCGUGUAGGCGGUUCGUUAAGUCUGAUGUGAAAGCCCGGGGCUCAACCCCGGAAGUGCAUUGGAAACUGGCGAACUUGAGUACGGGAGAGGAAAGUGGAAUUCCGAGUGUAGGGGUGAAAUGCGUAGAUAUGUGGAGGAAUACCGGUGGCGAAGGCGGCCUCCUGGCUCGAUACUGACGCUCAGGUGCGAAAGCGUGGGGAGCAAACAGGAUUAGAUA
RNAcentral lists this ribosomal RNA (279 nucleotides) under uncultured bacterium. RNAcentral's name for it is "partial 16S ribosomal RNA". It matches the Rfam family "Bacterial small subunit ribosomal RNA", at positions 506 to 784 of the family's 1533-position model. The record is from RNAcentral.